CUUGGACACUAGUCCUCUACUGUGUGGGGAAGAUGGGUAUCUCGUCCUCAUACGUGGUGUUACCUCUAAUGGCCUCCGAACUUUACCCGACUGUGGUCCGUGGUCUGGGCAUGAGCUUCAGUGGGGUCGCCGGCAUGCUCGGUCCUGUCUUCAUACCCUUAGUCAACUACAUGGGGGCUGACAUGCUGGUCCUGCCACUUCUUGUCAUGGGAGCUCUUCUGGUGACUGGAGGUCUGUUUAGUCUUCUGCUCCCGGAAACUCUCCACCAGCAACCUCCCCCAGACACUCGAGGACGGUGAAGCCUUCGGCAAGGACUGGUUCAGCUGCUGCCCGACCAGGGUCAGUGAUGUAUCCAAGAAUGAGAAACUGCCGGUGCAAAUAGUUCCCGAGUCUCCCAUCAAAAGCCUGCUGACGGCCGUCACGAGAGAGACUCCUCUGUCAACUCCCGUCGUCACAGACGGCACAUCGUCCACCGACGUCACCUCAGACACUGUUCUGUCCGUCGGCAGGGAACAGACGGUCCGUGUCACAGUCGUCUGACCCCGGCUAGCCGCAACCGACCUUCUAGCCGCCCCUGACCGUCUGUGGUGGGCGAUCCUGCUGUAUAUACCUCAACGGUCUCAACUAACCGCACAAUUUUUUCUACUUUAUACAGUUUUUGUCAAACAUGAACUAGAAAGACAAUUUUAAAGUUUUAUAAUUAGUGGGAUAAAAAUCGUAGUUGUUCAGUGUUCUUUCAGAGACUAUCUUUAGGGAUUCAUUUAUCUUUCGUAAGCGUACUCAGCCUGGAGACUCCCCAUUGUUAUUUCGUAAUGUAUUCAGCGUCUAAAUUUCAAAAAUGACUUUACUUUUAUCAAAUUAAAUGUUAAUUGUUGAAAUUAAUUUAAAUUAUACUGGAUUCAUCAAGUGUUUACAGUAAUACCCCGUCCACAUUGUGAAGAGAUUCUGGGGUAGUGACCAAUCAGAGCAAGAAACCGUCCACGUGGGCUGAGCGUAAUCGCAGAAUUUCCGCGCGAUGAGUUCACAACCGGUCACUCUCACCUUCACCUUAAUCCUAAAAAGGAGAGAACUCUGGCACGGUGGAUCUAUUACAAUCAGCGAUGAAACGUUUACUGACAAUAUAAAAGCUCAAAUGCCUUGACAUGGCGCUGCUCUUGACGGCGUGUGAACCGGGUAGUCACCUUGUCAUGACAGUGGUGGGCGACACUCUUAACACUCUGUUAAUUUAGUAUGGUUUAAUGAUGUAGAUGAUACGCCGUUAUUAACGCAUUUUCAGCAACAUUUGAAGUAUAAAUUUAUGUGUAUUAUUCAUUGUACUGAAAAAUCAACAAAAAGAAAAAAAAGCUAUUCCUACGUAUUUUAAAAAGUACAGCAUUUGUACACAAAUAUGUUUUUUAUCAAAACGACUAAAACUAAACUAUUUCUAGCCGAUAUCGUUAUCAGAUAAACAUUGGCUUCAUUAUAAACGAUACAAAUUCUUUGAUUGAAUCAUUUAGAGGUCAAAAGUAUGAGUUGUGUUUAUUCUUCCUGUUUCUGUUCCAAUAGUUGAGGUUAGAAAGUGAAAUAUAACGACAUAGUUUGUAACGAGCACAACUGUACUGUAAUAUUGUCUUGCCCAAUUGUGCCUUGGUAAUUUUUAUACAACAUACUUUUAUGUUUAUAAAAAUUAAAUACGGAAA
Molecule: long non-coding RNA, 1679 nt
Filed under: Homalodisca vitripennis (glassy-winged sharpshooter)
Lineage: Eukaryota; Metazoa; Arthropoda; Insecta; Hemiptera; Cicadellidae
Description: uncharacterized LOC124374428, transcript variant X1
Source: RNAcentral